RNAcentral lists this ribosomal RNA (232 nucleotides) under uncultured bacterium. Its description in RNAcentral is "partial 16S ribosomal RNA". It matches the Rfam family "Bacterial small subunit ribosomal RNA", at positions 99 to 334 of the family's 1533-position model. The record is from RNAcentral.
CGGACGGGUGAGUAAUGUCUGGGAAACUGCCCGAUGGAGGGGGAUAACUACUGGAAACGGUAGCUAAUACCGCAUAACGUCGCAAGACCAAAGAGGGGGACCUUCGGGCCUCUUGCCAUCGGAUGUGCCCAGAUGGGAUUAGCUAGUAGGUAGGGUAACGGCUCACCUAGGCGACGAUCCCUAGCUGGUCUGAGAGGAUGACCAGCCACACUGGAACUGAGACACGGUCCAG